CCCCUUUCCCUCAGAGCAUCCGCGUUGCCCGGGGCAACGCCCGCCUCUUCCAGCAUCCCUAAUCAUUCCCGACGAUGGAAGUGCGUGGAGCGCCUUGUAUCCCAGGGAUUCCAUACGUCUUUCUGCUUCCACCUGCCCCGGCUUCAAUCAGGAGUAGGUAACUGUGGAUUUGACCCUCAGGGUGAGAGAAUAAAAUCGGAGUCAUUGCCACCGCCCGGAGGAUACCCAGGAAACGAGCCAAGUUGGGAGGUCGAACGCUUCCAAUAAUCCCUGGCAGGCGUCCCUAAGGUGGAGUCUACUGGCUUCUAGCAUCCUUACCAUCGGCACAGCAGCACAGGCCUCCCUGUCACCAUGGAGACGACACUGAUGAGAACCAGGUCGUUUGUGGUGACUGACGGGAAGCCCUGUGGAAUGGUUCGAGAAGCCUAAGGAUGUCAGCGCCACCACAUCAGGAAACGGAAAUCCCCUCUCCAGCGGUCGUCUUGGGAUGGUAAACGUGGCAAGCCCGUCACCUUGGGAAGCAGCGGGACAGGAGGAGGUCCCGAAGGAUCUUCAGAGGGCCGCACCUGGAGAGUCUCCCAGUCUGGACUAAGCGAGGGAGAGUCAACCGUUCCAUUCCUAGCUUGGGCAGUGGCCAGCGAGUGGAAGGCAAUCUGCUACAAGUCAAAUCUCACCCGCACUGGGCAGCGGAGGCACGGGAGAGAGUCGAGGACGGAGACUCAAGUUUCCCGUGCGGAAGGAGGCAACGGUAAACCACUUCCAGAUUUUUACCGAGAACACUCUAUGGAUGGAUCCACUUCCAGAACAAUUGUAGGUGGAGGUGGGGCGUUCUAGGAGAGAUGCGUCCAUGGCAUCCUUGGGGGUCGGAGACGACUCGGCAGCAUAAGACAACAACAACGUAACUUUCUUGUCUUUAGUAUCUGUCCAUGACACGGUGGGUAAUACUUCAGAAAUGAAGUAUUCUAUUCCCAUUAGCCAUUUUUAGUUCAAUCAAUCAAAAAUCACGAGACCAUGUUACCUUGGUAAGCAAAUACUGCACUUCUUUUCAAACACCUUUCUACUUUACCAACAUCUUUUUAAAAUAAUGUACUUGUUUUUCCCUCUAAGGCCACGUAGAGGUAAUCUACAGUAUGCACGAGACUCUGAAUUAAAUAUAAAAUCACGCGACAAAAGGAUCGUUUUCCUCAGUUAUUUCAGAGAUUUUUGUAUACUCGCCCAAUUGUCAUUCCACUCUGCAUGUCAGGACCAUCAGCUCUGCAGCGAUUCACCUGGACCAAAGCUUUGGCAUGAAAUAAACUCAGAACAGACAUC
This is a long non-coding RNA of Tachyglossus aculeatus (Australian echidna), 1311 nucleotides long. RefSeq lists it as uncharacterized. The record is from RefSeq and is a predicted model, not a curated record. Lineage: Eukaryota; Metazoa; Chordata; Mammalia; Monotremata; Tachyglossidae. The transcript is spliced from 3 exons.